This 45-nucleotide non-coding RNA is filed under the name Schistosoma mansoni. The record is from RNAcentral. Lineage: Eukaryota; Metazoa; Platyhelminthes; Trematoda; Strigeidida; Schistosomatidae.
AUCCAGCUGACGAGUCCCAAAUAGGACAAAACACGCGUCUUCGGU